Molecule: ribosomal RNA, 253 nt
Filed under: uncultured bacterium
Lineage: Bacteria
Description: partial 16S ribosomal RNA
Rfam family: Bacterial small subunit ribosomal RNA
Source: RNAcentral
UACGGAGGAUCCAAGCGUUAUCCGGAUUCGUUGGGUUUAAAGGGUGCGUAGGCGGAAUAGUAAGUCAGUGGUGAAAUCCUGUCGCUUAACGACAGAACUGCCAUUGAUACUGCUAAUCUUGAGUACAUUUGAAGUGGGCGGAAUGUGUAGUGUAGUGGUGAAAUACUUGGAUAUUACACAGAACACCGAUUGCGGAGGCAGCUCACUAAACUGUAACUGACGCUGAGGCACGAAAGCGUGGGGAUCAAACAGG